GAUGAACGCUGGCGGCGUGCCUAAUACAUGCAAGUCGAGCGAACAGACGAGGAGCUUGCUCCUCUGACGUUAGCGGCGGACGGGUGAGUAACACGUGGAUAACCUACCUAUAAGACUGGGAUAACUUCGGGAAACCGGAGCUAAUACCGGAUAAUAUAUUGAACCGCAUGGUUCAAUAGUGAAAGACGGUUUUGCUGUCACUUAUAGAUGGAUCCGCGCCGCAUUAGCUAGUUGGUAAGGUAACGGCUUACCAAGGCGACGAUGCGUAGCCGACCUGAGAGGGUGAUCGGCCACACUGGAACUGAGACACGGUCCAGACUCCUACGGGAGGCAGCAGUAGGGAAUCUUCCGCAAUGGGCGAAAGCCUGACGGAGCACCGCCGCGUGAGUGAUGAAGGUCUUCGGAUCGUAAAACUCUGUUAUUAGGGAAGAACAAAUGUGUAAGUAACUAUGCACGUCUUGACGGUACCUAAUCAGAAAGCUACGGCUAACUACGUG
This 497-nucleotide ribosomal RNA is filed under the name uncultured bacterium. RNAcentral describes it as "partial 16S ribosomal RNA". It matches the Rfam family "Bacterial small subunit ribosomal RNA", at positions 28 to 507 of the family's 1533-position model. The record is from RNAcentral.